RNAcentral lists this ribosomal RNA (568 nucleotides) under uncultured bacterium. Its description in RNAcentral is "partial 16S ribosomal RNA". It matches the Rfam family "Bacterial small subunit ribosomal RNA", at positions 355 to 914 of the family's 1533-position model. The record is from RNAcentral.
UGGGGAAUUUUGGACAAUGGGCGCAAGCCUGAUCCAGCCAUGCCGCGUGCGGGAAGAAGGCCUUCGGGUUGUAAACCGCUUUUGUCAGGGAAGAAAUCUUCUGAGUUAAUACCUCGGGAGGAUGACGGUACCUGAAGAAUAAGCACCGGCUAACUACGUGCCAGCAGCCGCGGUAAUACGUAGGGUGCAAGCGUUAAUCGGAAUUACUGGGCGUAAAGCGUGCGCAGGCGGUUUUGUAAGACAGAGGUGAAAUCCCCGGGCUCAACCUGGGAACUGCCUUUGUGACUGCAAGGCUUGAGUGCGGCAGAGGGGGAUGGAAUUCCGCGUGUAGCAGUGAAAUGCGUAGAUAUGCGGAGGAACACCGAUGGCGAAGGCAAUCCCCUGGGCCUGCACUGACGCUCAUGCACGAAAGCGUGGGGAGCAAACAGGAUUAGAUAGCCCCUGGUAGUCCACGCCCUAAACGAUGUCAACUGGUUGUUGGGAAGGUUCCUUCUCAGUAACGUAGCUAACGCGUGAAGUUGACCGCCUGGGGAGUACGGCCGCAAGGUUGAAACUCAAAUGAAUUGAC